AUUGAACGCUGGCGGCAGGCCUAACACAUGCAAGUCGAGCGGAUGAAGGGAGCUUGCUCCUGGAUUCAGCGGCGGACGGGUGAGUAAUGCCUAGGAAUCUGCCUGGUAGUGGGGGAUAACGUCCGGAAACGGGCGCUAAUACCGCAUACGUCCUGAGGGAGAAAGUGGGGGAUCUUCGGACCUCACGCUAUCAGAUGAGCCUAGGUCGGAUUAGCUAGUUGGUGGGGUAAAGGCCUACCAAGGCGACGAUCCGUAACUGGUCUGAGAGGAUGAUCAGUCACACUGGAACUGAGACACGGUCCAGACUCCUACGGGAGGCAGCAGUGGGGAAUAUUGGACAAUGGGCGAAAGCCUGAUCCAGCCAUGCCGCGUGUGUGAAGAAGGUCUUCGGAUUGUAAAGCACUUUAAGUUGGGAGGAAGGGCAGUAAGUUAAUACCUUGCUGUUUUGACGUUACCAACAGAAUAAGCACCGGCUAACUUCGUGCCAGCAGCCGCGGUAAUACGAAGGGUGCAAGCGUUAAUCGGAAUUACUGGGCGUAAAGCGCGCGUAGGUGGUUCAGCAAGUUGGAUGUGAAAUCCCCGGGCUCAACCUGGGAACUGCAUCCAAAACUACUGAGCUAGAGUACGGUAGAGGGUGGUGGAAUUUCCUGUGUAGCGGUGAAAUGCGUAGAUAUAGGAAGGAACACCAGUGGCGAAGGCGACCACCUGGACUGAUACUGACACUGAGGUGCGAAAGCGUGGGGAGCAAACAGGAUUAGAUACCCUGGUAGUCCACGCCGUAAACGAUGUCGACUAGCCGUUGGGAUCCUUGAGAUCUUAGUGGCGCAGCUAACGCGAUAAGUCGACCGCCUGGGGAGUACGGCCGCAGGUUA
Molecule: ribosomal RNA, 872 nt
Filed under: uncultured Pseudomonadales bacterium
Lineage: Bacteria; Pseudomonadati; Pseudomonadota; Gammaproteobacteria; Pseudomonadales
Description: bacterial SSU rRNA
Rfam family: Bacterial small subunit ribosomal RNA
Source: RNAcentral